CACUCCUGCGGGAGGCAGCAGUAGGGAAUCUUCCACAAUGGGUGCAAACCUGAUGGAGCAAUGCCGCGUGAGUGAAGAAGGUCUUCGGAUCGUAAAGCUCUGUUGUUAGAGAAGAACACGUGCUAGGUAACUACUAGCGCCUUGACGGUAUCUAACCAGAAAGUCAUGGCUAACUACGUGCCAGCAGCCGCGGUAAUACGUAGGUGACAAGCGUUGUCCGGAUUUAUUGGGCGUAAAGGGAGCGCAGGCGGUCUGUUUAGUCUAAUGUGAAAGCCCACGGCUUAACCGUGGAACGGCAUUGGAAACUGACAGACUUGAAUGUAGAAGAGGAAAAUGGAAUUCCAAGUGUAGCGGUGGAAUGCGUAGAUAUUUGGAGGAACACCAGUGGCGAAGGCGAUUUUCUGGUCUAACAUUGACGCUGAGGCUCGAAAGCGUGGGGAGCGAACAGGAUUAGAAACCCUGGUAGUCCC
Molecule: ribosomal RNA, 470 nt
Filed under: uncultured organism
Description: partial 16S ribosomal RNA
Rfam family: Bacterial small subunit ribosomal RNA
Source: RNAcentral